GCCACUGACUUGCCCCGGCCGUGCACCGUACGAGUAAUCUGCAAAUGGAUCGGUCCCCGGACCAAUGUCGCGUAUAUACAAUAAUAACAUAAUACACGCGGCGAUUGUGCGUAUCGGGUCGGCGAUAAGGUUCAGCGUUUCUUAAGCUCGCCGACUAAAUUAUUUACCGUCCCCGUGUCCCAUAUUGCGCAGUGUGUCGCGGCUCGUAUUAUCGUUUUACCGCCCGGACGGACCGCCGGCACCUGGUCCACGGUUCGGACACUCGUUACCCGCACG
Cinara cedri is the source of this 276-nucleotide non-coding RNA. Lineage: Eukaryota; Metazoa; Arthropoda; Insecta; Hemiptera; Aphididae. The record is from the annotation of a GenBank genome assembly.